Molecule: ribosomal RNA, 479 nt
Filed under: uncultured bacterium
Lineage: Bacteria
Description: partial 16S ribosomal RNA
Rfam family: Bacterial small subunit ribosomal RNA
Source: RNAcentral
GGUGAACGCUGGCGGCGUGCUUAACACAUGCAAGUCGAACGAAGCACCUUGAUUCGAUUCUUCGGAUGAAGAUCUUGGUGACUGAGUGGCGGACGGGUGAGUAACGCGUGGGUAACCUGCCUCAUACAGGGGGAUAACAGUUAGAAAUGACUGCUAAUACCGCAUAAGACCACAGCACCGCAUGGUGCAGGGGUAAAAACUCCGGUGGUAUGAGAUGGACCCGCGUCUGAUUAGGUAGUUGGUGGGGUAACGGCCUACCAAGCCGACGAUCAGUAGCCGACCUGAGAGGGUGACCGGCCACAUUGGGACUGAGACACGGCCCAAACUCCUACGGGAGGCAGCAGUGGGGAAUAUUGCACAAUGGGGGAAACCCUGAUGCAGCGACGCCGCGUGAGCGAUGAAGUAUUUCGGUAUGUAAAGCUCUAUCAGCAGGGAAGAAAAUGACGGUACCUGACGAAGAAGCACCGGCUAAAUACGUG